CACCAGUGCAUUAUCCUCCACCCCCUUACGAGUACAAGUCUCCUCCGCCACCCCCGCCAUCACCACCCAAGCAUCCCUAUAAGUACAAGUCUCCACCUCCACCUCCACCAUCACCACCCAAGCACCCUUACAAGUACAAGUCUCCACCACCCCCACCAUCACCACCCAAGCACCCCUACAAGUACAAGUCUCCUCCACCACCUCCACCAUCACCACCCAAGCACCCCUACAAGUAUAAGUCUCCACCACCCCCACCAUCACCACCCAAGCAUCCUUACAAGUACAAGUCUCCACCACCACCACCACCAUCACCACCCAAGCACCCCUACAAGUACAAGUCUCCUCCACCUCCACCAUCACCACCCAAGCAUCCCUACAAGUACAAGUCUCCACCACCCCCACCCUCACCACCCAAGCACCCCUACAAGUACAAGUCUCCACCCCACCCCCACCCUCACCACCCAAGCACCCUUACAAGUACAAGUCUCCCCCACCACCCACUCCAGUCUACAAAUAUAAGUCUCCUCCCCCUC
This 533-nucleotide long non-coding RNA is filed under the name Gossypium raimondii (Peruvian cotton). RNAcentral describes it as "long non-coding RNA (GRAI_LNC007118)". Lineage: Eukaryota; Viridiplantae; Streptophyta; Magnoliopsida; Malvales; Malvaceae. The record is from RNAcentral.